GACGAACGCUGGCGGCGUGCAUAACACAUGCAAGUCAAGGGGGUCAGUAGCAAUACUGGCAACCGGCGAACGGGUGCGUAACACGUAAGCGACCUACCUCGAUGUGGGGCAUAGCCGGCCUAACGGCCGGGUAAUUCCGCAUGUGAUUCUGGAGAGGCAUCUCCCCGGAAUGAAACCAGUAAUGGGCAUUGAGAGGGGCUUGCGGCCUAUCAGCUUGUUGGNGAGGU
This 227-nucleotide ribosomal RNA is filed under the name uncultured bacterium. RNAcentral's name for it is "partial 16S ribosomal RNA". It matches the Rfam family "Bacterial small subunit ribosomal RNA", at positions 28 to 258 of the family's 1533-position model. The record is from RNAcentral.